GUUGCAUGAGGUGCGGUCUAGGGCAGGGGAAGGGGAAUGGAUGAAGCUGGUUCGUGAGGAAAAUCCCAUAACUUGCCGUGGUUAUGUUUAUUAUGACCCAUCAUGACAUCAGCCAAAAUGUUAUGAAUGUGGCAGGCUGAAAUAGAGAUCAUUGCAGGUAAGCAAUGUGUCCAAGAGGUGAUAGAGUGCACUUAGGGGCACUAAUUAAGAUCAGGAGGCAUCAGGAACUAGAACCCCUAUGACUUGACCUGAAGUUGUAGGAUGAGUCAUACUGAAUGGAGCCGCGGAUGAGGACCCUGUCCUUGUCCAGAUACUGUUGCAGCCUUGCCAUUUGUUUAGAUCAUUUUAAUCCCCUCUAAAUAUAAAAUUUAUUGCCCUCUAAAAUUGUUUUGUACUAGCAACCUACCUAUAUAUUACUAGGAGGAUGCCAUGCCGACGGAGGCUACUGGCAAUGGAUUCGUGCACCCAACAAUCGAUCUUCUAUUAUUUAACUCCUCAGUAUGUGUAACAACAUUAAUGCAUCAUCUAUAGGUGAAUAUACAGUAAAUAUAAGUGAAGUAGUGCACCCGAACUGUGACCAACAUCCCAUUGUUAUGGCCUGAAACUGACCAUCUCUAGUCUAGUUUCUGCAACCUCUUGUAGGUAAUCUUACGAGCAAGUCGAAACCAAUGAAAAAUCAUCAGUAAGUCAUUGGUUGAUUGAGAGAGAUGGAAAUUGUUGUGAAACUAACAUCUCGAGUGAUGGAGAUGGGACGUAGAAUCUUUUCUUUAUGGGUUAGGAGACAUCUGGAGUUAGAUCACAGCAUUGGGUUGAAGUCGAUCACUGCAAAAAAACUAGACUGCGGAUGGUGGCAUAUUGGACUGCAGUGGGUUGGCUAAAGACCACAGUAGGACAUGGGCGUCGCACCCAUAAGAAGUGGUGUCAUGCCACCGGACCUCACAAGCUCGUGUUCAUGGGAGCUGCAUUGCCUCUUGCAUCUAGUGCGCAAGCUUCAAAUUAACCAAGGACCUCAGCAUGGACGAAGCUAGCGGUGGGGCUAGGGGGCUCUAGCCCCCCUACCGCUGCUGAUUCAGUGGAGCUUCUAGUGUUUUUCUUCUAAUUUUAGAUACAAAUUUAUAAAGUAGGGUGGGCUGAGACCUUUAUUUUUAGAUAUAUUUUGUGAAUUAAUAUAUGACUACUUCAAGCUAAUAUAUUUUUUUCUAUUGUGAGAGUUUAUAGUAAAGUUAGGUCGAUGUAGCAAUUUUGUUCAGCCUCUCCUACAAUUUUUUCUGGCUUCGUCCCUGGACCUCAGUGACUUGAUUUUUGUCCUAGAUUGGUGAGAGGGAGGGAUCUGGUGGGUUUAGAUGGGUCAGCCUGAAAACUACUGCUUUGAGAUCUCAUGAUAAAUUUGAUCGCCAAAGCUUUUGUAAGGCCGUUGCAGUUUUUGAUUUUCUAUAACGAUUCAGGUAUGGCCAACUGUCUUCUCUAGAGGACAUGUUUACCUGCUAUUCUCAUGGUCAUGUUUCAUGCAGAUGCAGUUCCAAUCCAUGCAUGUCCUUUUUCCUUUUUUUUAAUUUCAUCCAAAUAGGUUUUGGCUUUUGCAUUUAAUUACUGGCUGUAUUAUUUGCUACUCCCUCGAUUCCAAAUUAAAAGACAUUUUGAAUUGUUUAGUUAGACACUAGAGAUGUCGUAAAAGUAAUGUAUCUAGAGAAUACAAAAUAUCUUAUAAUUUGGAAUGGAGGGAUUAGUUAUUAAAAUUGAUAGCAGGUCAUUCUAACUGGGCAUCUAAUUAAGUUGCAAGAUGGUGUGGUUGAAAUCGAUGGUUGUGGUAGCUCCUGAUCACACGCCUGUUUUGAGAUCUGAAAUGAACUAGCGUACUUAACAGUAGUACUAGUCAUAUUUAACUCUCUCUCUCUCUCUCUCUCUCUCUCUCUCUCUCCGGCAACCAAGCGAGAGCAGCAGCGGUAGCCACGAGCGUCAGGUUCUCGAUGAUGUUUUCACUUGCAAUUGGAUCUGUUGCUUCAUGCAGGGCCGUGAGUGCUCUCUCUCGCUCUUUGUUUCAUUUUUUCUUCUAGGUGCUUUCUUAGGGCCCGUUCGUUUCUCACGGAAUGGAGACCUGGAAUGAUUUCAGCCAGAAACAUUAUGUAAAUUUAUACUAUUUUUGAUCGUCUGAAAUGAAUCCAUCGGGAACAAAGGCUAAACGAACGAGCCCUUAGUAAUCACUCUCAUGGUUAGCUGAUCUGAGAUCUGAGAGGUUAUAUUAUGUGAAUCCAUUUUAAUUAGUCCCUCUAUAACCUUUUUUCAUGUUUGCCUUCUGAAGAAUCAUCAUACGGAGUGAAGAAAGCUAGAUGCAUGCUACAUUAUUGCAUUGGGCAAAAUUAUGGGAAUAAAAAAAUAAUGAUGCUACAUUACCUGGCGAAUGCUUGGACAGAUGUGAGAUGUAUUGGCCAGUUAUGGAAAAAAAAUAAUGAUGCUGUUAUGAAGCACUAUAUACAUAACUUGUUCUCUUAUUAAGAACGACCAUUUCCAAUGACCCAUCAUGUCAUUCGAGGAAUACAGAUUUUUGUGCUUUGCAUGCUGGUGGCCACUAACCGAUUGAUCGAAGGUGCUUUUUGGUUCCACACUCUGUGGGAAUAGUAAUGCUAAUGUAAUAAGGUAGCGCUGCAAUCUGUUACUACAGUUUAAGGAAAAAAAACUGAAUUGAUUUGGUUGCCUCCUGUAAUGCUUGGAGCUGUUAGCUAGUCAAAACAUAGAGUCCAAUACAUAAGUAUCCCACAAUCACCAGCGAGGAUGCAGCAGAAGACACAUGCUGGAGUUUCUGAUGGCAGUGGUUGCAGUGUCGCUAGUUAAGACCGCUACAAUUCAGGCGCUCCUUAGAGAAGCUCAACGUACGUGGUCAGGAAGCCGUGCACCACCCCCAACAAGGAGGAAGGAUGGAGCAGAGACAUUCCUGGCGCAGACAGAGAAGUGGCACAUCAGUAUAGAUGCCAGAGAUGCGAGAGAAUCAUGAUGACUUGAGCUAGGGUUGUGGUCCAGCACACGUCAAGGGGCCGUGGCGUGUAGUCCAGCGGAGAGGAAGCGGCGAGGGAAUCAUGAUGAGUUGCAUGUAGGGAUGAAAACGGAUCGGAUACGGACGGAUAUCCCCGAUAUCAUAUUUGUUUUCAUAUUUCUGGUCGGAUUCGGAUUCGAAUACGGAUAAUGUCAACCAUGUCAGAUAAGAUACAAUUGGAUAUCAACAUCAUAAAUAUACAAUUUAAGUAUUCGGAUACGGAUAUGGUAUCGGAUAUUGAAUAUUCGGACUUAGAUACAGCAGAUCUAAACCCCUUGAAACGAAUUCGGUCUUGAAUACGGUCGGAAAAUAUCCGUACCGUUUUCAUCCCUGGUUGCAUGAGGUGCGGUCUAGGGCAGGGGAAGGGGAAUGGAUGAAGCUGGUUCGUGAGGAAAAUCCCAUAACUUGCCGUGGUUAUGUUUAUUAUGACCCAUCAUGACAUCAGCCAAAAUGUUAUGAAUGUGGCAGGCUGAAAUAGAGAUCAUUGCAGGUAAGCAAUGUGUCCAAGAGGUGAUAGAGUGCACUUAGGGGCACUAAUUAAGAUCAGGAGGCAUCAGGAACUAGAACCCCUAUGACUUGACCUGAAGUUGUAGGAUGAGUCAUACUGAAUGGAGCCGCGGAUGAGGACCCUGUCCUUGUCCAGAUACUGUUGC
RNAcentral lists this long non-coding RNA (3681 nucleotides) under Sorghum bicolor (sorghum). RNAcentral's name for it is "long non-coding RNA (SBIC_LNC015390)". Lineage: Eukaryota; Viridiplantae; Streptophyta; Magnoliopsida; Poales; Poaceae. The record is from RNAcentral.